Long non-coding RNA from Acinonyx jubatus (cheetah), 1303 nucleotides. RefSeq lists it as uncharacterized. The transcript is spliced from 3 exons. The record is from RefSeq and is a predicted model, not a curated record. NCBI's taxonomy places the organism in Eukaryota, Metazoa, Chordata, Mammalia, Carnivora, Felidae.
GGCGCCUGGGUGGCUCAGUCGGUUGAGCGUCCGACUUCUGUCUUUGCUACCUCUGUACCUUUUGCGCUACAGGCCAGAAAGCUAAAACCUACAUUUCCCAGACUCCCUUGCAGCUAGGGUUUGGAUAGAAUCUAGGUUCAACCAAUCAGAAGCAUUUGCACGAGACUGACUCAGAGCUGGGUUAGAGGUGAACAAUGACAAGGCUCCAGGCAUUGUUUUGCGGGUGCAGAGUGUGGCGGAAGGGCACAGGGCACGGCUCUUGGAAACUGCAGGCUUAGCAGCACCUUCUUGAUUACAUCAGGGGCAGCAGCUUUCACGGUGGCCCCGUUUCACGGUGCAGUUCGGGGAGGCUCAGCCUUCGGUCUUUCUUCAGCUUUCCCAAAGAUUCCGAGCUAGCCGUGCCCUAAAUAAAUCCCUUUCUGUUUUCACUAGCUAAAUGGGCUCUGUUAUCUGCAAUUAAGAACAAGGGGUCAGCAUGAGGCCACCAGAAAAGCCUGCGACCUUGGCUGUAACUCACGUCAUUUUCCAGUCACACAACAGACAGGAGUGGCCAGAGAGUCAGCGACUUGCUUCUGGACCUCAGCUGGCUGAUGGCAGAGCUGAGUCAGGCACGACGAACCUCAGGAAGCUUCUCCGCCAUCUGGACCGGCUGGCGUCCUCCUUCCGCUGCUACUGAAACCCCUGUGAAGGCUCUUGCCCACUUUCCCCUCUCACCCUCUCUGCCUCCUGACCAGCCCUGGUGGCCCCCUAUGUGGCCUUUACGGUGCGACGUGCCUCCUGUGUCUACGGAUCUGUGAGUAUAAAGUCUUCCUCCUUCGUGGCAUUGACUCCCACUUCCGUGGAGUCUUGCCAUACGUGACAAUACCGAACCCCAGCUACCCUGAAAACACCCCACGUGGUGCCUCAGCCAAGUUGUCAAAAGCGCCCCACACCGGGGUCUACAGCCCCAGGUGUCCUGUCUGAAAACAGAGCCAAUGGCCCUGUUCCUGUCUCCAUCCUACCCGGCUUUGCUGUUUUGAGCUGUGCUUCUUCGUCUCCGUCUCUAAAGCUAACACUCGAGGAAGCAAGAUCAUAACAACCGCUGCCGAGAGCCCCCCCUCCGGACUCCGCUUCUGACGGGACACCCAAGGACUGCGUUCUGGAAAAAGCACAGUAAUCCCUGUCUGGCGGGGAUACAGACUUUGAUGCGGACGUCACAAGUGAGGCUUCCGUCUCCUUGUGUAAUGACGUGGGAAGACACUCCCGGGAUGAUGCUGAACGGGAAACACAAGCUACAGCACUGUGAUCUCCCGAAAGAACGGUA